UAGGUACUCCCUCUGUCCAAAAAAGCUUGUCCCAAGCUUGUCUCUCAAAUGGAUGUAUCUAGCACCAAGUUAGUGCUAGAUACAUCCAUUUGAGGGACACGCUUUUCUAGACAGAGGAAGUAGUAG
This is a non-coding RNA of Triticum urartu, 126 nucleotides long. The record is from Rfam. NCBI's taxonomy places the organism in Eukaryota, Viridiplantae, Streptophyta, Magnoliopsida, Poales, Poaceae.